AAGAAAAUAAAUCAAGCUGCGAAACAGAGAAACAGAUAAGAGAAGAUUUCCCAAGGCAAAGGUUUCAACAGAUUCUCCUAACUAACAUGUUCAAUUCAAUUAAUAAGACGAUUCCUAAGGCAAUCUCAAAAUUAGUCUAUACCCACUCCCGUGGCAUACAAACCGUUGAUUACAUGCAAGGCUACCGUCCCCGGAUCGCACUUCUAACAUGCAACUCCUAAAAGCUCAUAGGAUUAACGCCCUCACAAAUAUCAAUUCCCUUUAGAAUUAAAUAUAUGUGUUCUAUGUUCUUAGUUCAGGUAAUAAUUAUCAUCUCCCGAUCUCAAAUUAAAACCUAUGAUUAUGCUAAAUUGGUGGCCAAUCAAUAAAGCAAACAAUUAAAACAAGAACAUAGAAAGGAAUAACAAUCCAAUUAAUUGAAUCAAACAGUCAGAAAUUCAAACUAUGUUUACUCCCUAAACCCUGGAAAAAAGGAAUUCUAGCCACACAUAGACAUAUGAACUAGAAUACAAUUCUCAAUAAAACAAAUAAACAUCCAACAAGAAAAACCGUAGUAAAAUCGAGAAUCUUCAGUCUUGCUCUUGCUCUGUUCUUCGUCUCUCUCAGCUCUCAGGAAAAGUAAAAUAUGAUAAAAGAUGAUAAAAGGUUAUAAAAAGGUGCAAAGAAUAAGUUCUUGGGGAGUAUUUAUAUGCCCUAGGUCUUGUAGCUCUCAAAAAUACCCAAAAUCGCUAAAAAAACGAAUUUUGGGCGGAAAUACGGCGACUCGCGCGGCCACGUCGCGCGGCGCAUGGCUGGCCCGCGUGACGAAACAGAACUCCUGACAGCUUUGCGUAGCGAUUUUGUUUUGGCUCGUUCUCUCUCGUUCGAACUCCGAUUUAUGAUCCGUUUGCGCUCACGAACUCCUCUUGAGACGAACUACAACUUGUAUUUCAGCCAAUUCUUCCAAAUUCUGCUUCAUUAUUUCUGAAAAUUCGUUCAAACACAAGCAAGUAACAAGUUCUUGACCAUAAACGAAUCUAAGCUCAAAUAGACCAUCAAACACACAAAAUCCUCACAACUAAGCAUCAAAAAUGACACACCAAGAGGUAAAAAUGCAUGUUUAUCAGUGAGCAAGACUGCACCGGGAAAAACGCAGCGAGAGCAGCCGAACCAGAGCAUAACCGGAGCAGCGAAAGGAGAUAAGACCUCCAGAGCAGAGCCGACUUACAGAGUAGAGCUUACAAACAGAGCAGAGCUAACUUCAGAGCAGGGCCGACUCCAGAGUAGAGCAAACCUCCAGAGCAGAGCUGAGAGCAGAGCUUACAUACAGAGCAGAGCUGACUUCAGAGCAGGGCCGACUCCAGAGCAGAGCAAACCUCCAGAGCAGAGCUAACCUCCAGAGCCGAGCAGAGCUGACCUCUAGAGCAGAGCUGAUCUCUAGAGUAGAGCUGACCUCCAGAGCAGAUCUUGUUCGCUAUUUUAUUUUAGCACGCCGCAAGUGUACGGGUGCAAUUGUGUACAGUAGCAAGCAAGCUCGUAUUUCACAGAGACUAAUUAUUAUCAAUGCCUAUCCUGGAUUAAUAUUCCUCUAUCUGGAAAAUCAAAAUUGAGAGUUUUUAUUGUAAAGAACAAAAUAAAUAAACAACAGGAAAGAAAAUAAAUCAAGCUGCGAAACAGAGAAACAGAUAAGAGAAGAUUUCCUAAGGUAAAGGUUUCAACAGAUUCUCCUAACUAACAUGUUCAAUUCAAUUAAUAAGACGAUUCCUAAGGCAAUCUCUAAACUAGUCCAUACCCACUCCCGUGGCAUACAAACCGUUGAUUACAUGCAAGGCUACCAUCCCUGGAUCGCACUUCUAACAUGUAACUCCUAAAAGUUCCUAGGAUUAACGCCCUCACAGUUAUCAAUUCCCUUUAGAAUUAAAAUAAAUGUGUUAUAUGUUCUUAGUUCAGGUAAUAAUUAUCAUCUCCCGAUCUCAAAUUAAAACCUAUGAUUAUGCUAAAUUAGUGGCCAAUCAAUAAAGCAAACAAUUAUAACAAGAACAUAAAAAUGAAUAACAAUCUUAAUUAAUCGAAUCAAACAGUCAGAAAUU
RNAcentral lists this long non-coding RNA (2069 nucleotides) under Salvia miltiorrhiza (redroot sage). Its description in RNAcentral is "long non-coding RNA (SMIL_LNC007032)". The record is from RNAcentral. Lineage: Eukaryota; Viridiplantae; Streptophyta; Magnoliopsida; Lamiales; Lamiaceae.